Molecule: long non-coding RNA, 1614 nt
Organism: Harpia harpyja (harpy eagle)
Lineage: Eukaryota; Metazoa; Chordata; Aves; Accipitriformes; Accipitridae
Exons: 3
Source: RefSeq, a predicted model, not a curated record
UAUCAGGCCACUUAGCAUCAUAUUGAUCCAACAGCUUACUUCAUUGAGACCAAUGGAGAUAACUCUUCAAUAGCCAUAAUUCCACUUGCCUGCAUGCUACAUAAAUUGCCUUCUCAAUCACCAGGUUUUAUUGUGGGGCAGGACUAUUCCUUUGAAGCUUCUGGUGCUGGCUGCUGUCAGAAGCAGGAUACUUGCCUCAAUGAUCCAUUGCUCCUAAUCAGGAAGAUCUACCAUGCAGACACAGAAUACUGCCUGUGACCAGCCCAGUCUACGCUCUACUCUUCUGAGUAUUAUCUUAGGUGUUAGACAUUUUAAUUUGAAGUAGCACCCAUAAUUGCAUUUUUAAGAAGCCAAAUCCAGCAUGCUUACCAGGACCAGCCCCUGGGGUGCUUGCUGCUUGCACUGGUUGGGUCCAGAUGUAAGCGUACUGCCCAGUUUGAUCCUGGCUGAGACUGUGGAGCCCAGAGAGUUACUUAACCUCUGGGGCCCAGAGGAAAUGGCUGGGCAGAGGACUUCCCCGACUACUGCGCUGGCCGUGGACACAUGUAAGUUCCUCAAAGUUCUGUUCAAGAUUAAAUUAGGCACAUUCAUUGUUUCUGAAUGUGGACCUUUGUUCUUAUGUGUUUAUGUAUACCAGCAACAGAAGUAGUAUGGACUAAUAGGUUUGGUAAAAGGCUUAUAAACUAACAGGUAGAAGUACUCAGCAGCUGUUCAUUAAAUGCAGAUAGUGUGGCUGUUCCACUUUUCAAGGUUUUACCAAGGUGCAAAACUGCAUCAGCCUGUCUCUGUCUCAUAGAGACACAUGGUUUCUUCCACUUCCAUUUUUUAAGGUAAUACUUACAUUAAGCUCUGAUUCACAGGAAAAUGCAAAUUAAAUCCUAAAAGUUUGUCAGCAUCUCGAUAUUCUCUUGAUUAAAAAAAGUUUAACUUGUUCUUCCUUUUUUUAGUAUAGAAAUAGACGUCUGAGUCACUAAUUUGUUUGCCCUCUUUGAGGCUGUUGAAAUGUAAAAGAGAUGAGUUAGCAGCCCCUGGCAGUGGGGGCUACAAUGGAGAUGCUGACAGACUUAUUUAUAGUGUGGUCAUGUUACCAGGCAUUACAAUUACAUUUCACUCAGGGAAGUUACUUUGACUUUUUAAGUGACAUCUGUAGUUAAACAGCUCUUUAAAGCUCAUCUUAACACCGUACAUGUUUAGAUGAUUGAAUUUUUGUCAUAAGCAGGGUACCAUACCAGUGGUUAUCCUGAUGCUCUGUUUUACUUUAAAGGCCUACAAUUGUCUUAUCUCAUUCCCUGCCUUAAUUACUUUAAAUGUACUGACAAGCACAACUGACCAAUUAAUAGUGCUUUUUCUCAUCUUAUCUCAUUUGUUAUCCAUGAUGCUCUUCCAUGUUGUAAUUACUUUUCAAUUUUUCAUGACUCAAAAUAGGAGAUGUACAUAAUGAAUACAAAUAGCAAAUUGAUUAAAUGUAACAUGCAUUGUAGCACCACCAAGACUGUCAUUUGUUAUUAAUGAGAGAGAUUUGUCAGGUUCUUGUGAAAAGGCUUGUGACGCACAGCAAUCCAAACCUAAUAGCUGUAAGACUGUAGCCAACUUUCAGCUGUUUAAUUGUCAUAC